GACGAACGCUGGCGGCGUGCUUAACACAUGCAAGUCGAACGGAAAGGCCCUGCUUUUGUGGGGUGCUCGAGUGGCGAACGGGUGAGUAACACGUGAGUAACCUGCCCUUGACUUUGGGAUAACUUCAGGAAACUGGGGCUAAUACCGGAUAGGAGCUCCUGCUGCAUGGUGGGGGUUGGAAAGUUUCGGCGGUUGGGGAUGGACUCGCGGCUUAUCAGCUUGUUGGUGGGGUAGUGGCUUACCAAGGCUUUGACGGGUAGCCGGCCUGAGAGGGUGACCGGCCACAUUGGGACUGAGGUACGGCCCAGACUCCUACGGGAGGCAGCAGUGGGGAAUAUUGCACAAUGGGCGGAAGCCUGAUGCAGCCACGCCGCGUGCGGGAUGACGGCCUUCGGGUUGUAAACCGCUUUCGCCUGUGACGAAGCGUGAGUGACGGUAAUGGGUAAAGAAGCACCGGCUAACUACGUG
RNAcentral lists this ribosomal RNA (468 nucleotides) under uncultured bacterium. RNAcentral's name for it is "partial 16S ribosomal RNA". It matches the Rfam family "Bacterial small subunit ribosomal RNA", at positions 28 to 507 of the family's 1533-position model. The record is from RNAcentral.